This 1404-nucleotide ribosomal RNA is filed under the name Triticum aestivum (bread wheat). RNAcentral's name for it is "partial small subunit ribosomal RNA". The record is from RNAcentral. Lineage: Eukaryota; Viridiplantae; Streptophyta; Magnoliopsida; Poales; Poaceae.
AUGGGCUGUCUAUGCCUAUUCCGGGACAAAUGGAGGCGCAAGAGGCGGCCGGAGUCGUCGGCGCCGCCAUCCCAUUCUCAGGCAGCGGCGGCCUCCUACUACGCCGCCUGCACAGAGCCGUGCUCCCACGACGCGUCGGUACCAGCCGGCGCUGCCUCGACCGCAUCGCCAGCUUGCAGCGCUACUGCUACGAGCACAUCCGACGGCUCAGGCGCGCGGCCGGCGUCGAGCAAGUCCUUGGGCUCCUCCGCGCGGAGCCUCCCGGAGCUGUACGGGGAGAGGGGCGCGCACAGCCUGCUGGAGUUCGGUCUCAGCGAGCUCCGUGGCGCCACGGCCAACUUCAGCCCGCUGCUCAUGGUCGGCAUGGGCGGCUUCGGGUGCGUCUACAGGGGCGCCCUCCGCCUCCCCGGCGGGAACCCCCACGGCACCGCGGUCGCCGUCAAGAGGCUCAACCCCAACGGUGGCCAGGGACACAAGGAAUGGCUGGCCGAGGUCCAAUUCCUCGGCAUCGUCGAGCACCCGAACCUCGUUAAGCUCGUCGGCUACUGCGCAACACAGACCGAUCAAGGGCCGCAGAGGCUUCUGGUCUAUGAGUUCAUGCCCAACAAGACGCUGGACGACCACCUGUUCAACCCAGAGCACCCUGUCCUCCCAUGGGACGUCAGGCUGCAGGUAGCACUGGGUGCUGCUGAAGGGUUGCUCUAUCUGCACGAGGGCCUUGAGCUUCAGAUUAUAUACCGCGAUUUCAAGGCUGCAAACAUACUGUUGGAUGAGGAGUUCAGACCCAAACUUUCGGACUUUGGAUUAGCAAGGGAGGGGCCAUCCGAAGGCCAAACCCAUGUAUCUACAGUGGUAAUGGGAACCUACGGCUACGCAGCUCCGGACUAUGUCCAGACAGGGCAUCUCACCACCAAGAGCGACGUCUGGAGCUUCGGAGUGGUAAUGUAUGAAAUCCUCACGGCUCGACGCUCGGUAGAGAAAAAACGACCCAAGAACGAACAGAAGCUCCUGGAGUGGGUGAGGCGGCACCCAGCCGACAGCGAACAGUUCAGUGAGAUCAUCGACACAAGGCUUGAAGGGAGAUACUCCAUGAGAGGAGCAAGAAAGAUCGCCAAGCUGGCCAACAGCUGCCUUGCAAAGUAUGCAAAGAACCGCCCCACAAUGCUGGAGGUGGUUGAGAGGCUGAAGCUGGCAAUGCAGCACAAGGAACUGGAUGGUCAGGAUGUCCGUUCAGUGGAGGAAAGCUCGCUUCUUCAUGAGGCACCAACGACACCACCCAUGGAGGAUGAGGCUGCGGUGUCGGCAAGGCGGCGGAUGCUUCAUUUGGCUGCCCUAGGUGAGAAUGCAAAUGCUCAGGCAAGGAGAAGAUUGAUGCUCAUGAGGGCAGCUGCUCCUCGGACGUGA